CGUGGGCUCGGCGGCAGUGAAGCCAGGGCUGAACUCUGGUGCCGGGGACAGAGCAGUGUGGUGUCAGGCGCUGCAGGACUGCAACGCCAAGACUGGGGGCCAGAUGCCCAAGCUAAGGGACCCAUGACUCCGCUGUGACCUUGGAACUUGUCCUUGGAAGGAGGAGGGGAGUUGACCGCAUAAGGAAGGGUGCGCUCCUGGGGUUAGGAUCUCUGAAGGCAAUGUGUGGACCCUCAGCAACCUGCCUCCUUCAUGGCUGAAGCUCUGGGACAUAGCUUGGGCCACCCCUGGGGAGCACUCCAGGCCACUGUCAGGUGUGAAGCACGAGCCAGCCCAGCCUCUGCCAUCAGCACCACCACAGACAGCUCAGAGUCAUGCAGGACACUUGAAGACCUGCACUGUUUCCGGCUGGGUCCAAGAACCCACUCUCACGCAGCUGCAGUCUGGCUGAGCCUCUCCCUCCAGGCCACCUCCUCAUCCUCCCUGUGUCCCCAUUUCUGGCAAGGAGGGAGCCACUCUCCUUGUGAUGAGGUCUGGAACUGGAGCUGUGAAAUCCCACCUUCCCUCCCUCCCUCCCUCCCUCCCUCCCUCCCUCCCUCCCUUCCUUCCUUCCUUCCUUCCUUCCUUCCUUCCUUCCUUCCUUCCUUUCACCUAUGCCCAAGAGUGUGACUUCCCAUUCUCAAGCAUCUGGUGCUAAUUCCAAUCCUCUUACUAGGACUCCUUAAAGGCUCUUGAGUUGGAGCUCUUGAAACAAAAACCCACCCCUCACUUCCCUGCUUCUGAUUCAUCUAACACGUUGCUUCUUCCAGGAAGUCCUCCAGCCACCACCUCACCCAGCCUAGUUUGGGUGUCCUGACUGUGCUCCCACAGCACAUUUAUAACGCAUGCUAUAAUGUACCUGCAACUGUAAGCUGGAGAGCUGCCACCCCUGGUCUGUGGGCCCUUGGAGGGCCGGGGCCUCAUCUUAUUCCUGCCGCACCCCAUGGUAGGUGUGCAACCCCCAUUUGUUUAGUGAAGAAGCAAGUGAACACAUUCUGUUGGGGGCACACACGGGUCUCAUUUGGAGCCCACUUGGUGCCCACCCAUGCGUCUUCCUCACAGGGCUGGGCAGAAGCCACAGUCCAUCCUGUCCUCUUGUCAUCAUCCCACUAAACACGAAACCUUGUCAUGGCUUAGGAGGGUCUCUCCCAGCAAACAUAAGGGUAUUGCUUGACGGACUGGCAUUUGGGGGAUCCCCUUGUUGAAACACAAGGCUGUGUGAAGUGGAGCCGCAGCGACCUGACAAGCAGGGGAAGCUCUCGCCUGCAUCGUUCCAGGAGGACACAGGGUGAGGAAG
This 1336-nucleotide long non-coding RNA is filed under the name Homo sapiens (human). RNAcentral describes it as "HSALNT0215089". Lineage: Eukaryota; Metazoa; Chordata; Mammalia; Primates; Hominidae. The record is from RNAcentral.